GCAGAUUGGACAGGAAUCGAGCCAAAAACAGUAGGGUAAGCAGGCGAAUCUGCAGAUGGAGCAAAAGCAGGUGAAUCUUCUUCAUAUGUUGUUCCAUUUCCUCCUGGUAUUGAAAUAUGAAGUUUCUGUGACUUUUCACAGUGUCCUUCUGCUCCACUUGUGAAGUAAAAUUCCCCAGGUUUUGUAAUGUUGAAUAGAGAAUUUCCAUUGUUCAUAUACAAGAUUGGAUUUUUAAGGUUGCAACUAUUGUAAUUCGCUUUCGUCACUUGUAUUACUGAAUCCUCACUAGGUGGGUACAAAAACAUGAUUGGAUCUCCAAUUUUGAAGACAUGAUUCUUGGACCAUUUGGUAUAGACAUCUUUAUUUGCAGAAGAGGGCUGCAAAAAAAAAGAAGAUUAAUUCAAGAGCCAAAUUGAUGGGGUUGAAUAUUUUAUUAGAGGGUAUGUAGGAAUAGGAAAAUCUUGAAGAUCUAAGCAAGAAAUGGGAGGCUUACUGAUUGAAUCUUCAAUUUUGAAGACAUGAUUCUUGGACCAUUUGGUAUAGACAUCUUUAUUUGCAGAAGAGGGUACAUUCCAAGCACUUAAAUCUCCAACUUUGUACUGAUAACACAACACUUUGGUUUGUAUUAAUAGAAAGAACUGAAAAAGAAUGUACAAAGAAUGGUACUUUCUUGGAAUACUAAGAGUAGCCAUAACUUGCGCAACUUUGUCUCUCUUCGCUCUUUGUUUCCUUUUUG
Molecule: long non-coding RNA, 736 nt
Filed under: Nicotiana benthamiana
Lineage: Eukaryota; Viridiplantae; Streptophyta; Magnoliopsida; Solanales; Solanaceae
Description: long non-coding RNA (NBEN_LNC029559)
Source: RNAcentral